UACGUAGGGUGCGAGCGUUGUCCGGAAUUACUGGGCGUAAAGAGCUCGUAGGUGGUUUGUCGCGCUGUUCGUGAAAUCCCACGGCUUAACUGUGGGCGUGCGGGCGAUACGGGCAGACUGGAGUACUGCAGGGGAGACUGGAAUUCCUGGUGUAGCGGUGGAAUGCGCAGAUAUCAGGAGGAACACCCAUGGCGAAGGCAGCUCGCUGGCCUGUAACUGACGCUGUAGUGCGAAAGCGUGGGGAGCAAACAGG
Molecule: ribosomal RNA, 253 nt
Filed under: uncultured bacterium
Lineage: Bacteria
Description: partial 16S ribosomal RNA
Rfam family: Bacterial small subunit ribosomal RNA
Source: RNAcentral